RNAcentral lists this long non-coding RNA (260 nucleotides) under Amphimedon queenslandica. RNAcentral's name for it is "uncharacterized LOC109590705, transcript variant X2". Lineage: Eukaryota; Metazoa; Porifera; Demospongiae; Haplosclerida; Niphatidae. The record is from RNAcentral.
AAAAGACCCUGGGCCAAAUUUUGCCAAACAUGAAAGGCUUACUGUUCUCUCUCUUUCUCAGUCAAAGCAGCCUUACUCAGCAAUGGAUCUUUCUAUGCACAAGAAUGUUAAAGAUUGGAUUGCAUGUAAUUAUUUCAUCUGCCAUUUGGGAUGGAUAUAUCACAUUCAGUUCAUUUGUGUCUUUCAUUGGCUACAGCCUACAAGCAUUACUUCUCUGCAGCUGACAUGGUUUACUGUGUUUCUUCCUUUUAGAAAAAAUU